RNAcentral lists this unclassified non-coding RNA (200 nucleotides) under uncultured Trametes. RNAcentral's name for it is "sequence contains ITS2". The record is from RNAcentral. Lineage: Eukaryota; Fungi; Basidiomycota; Agaricomycetes; Polyporales; Polyporaceae.
AAUUCUCAACCUACAAAUCUUUGCGGGUUUGUAGGCUUGGACUUGGAGGUUUUUGUUGGCUUCUCGCAAGUCGGCUCCUCUUAAAUGCAUUAGCCUGUUUCCUUGCGGAUCGGCUCUCGGUGUGAUAAUUAUCUGCGCCGCGACCGUGAAGCGUUUGGCUGGCUUCUAAUCGUCUCGCUCAAGAGACAGCUUCUUAUGAC